CGACGGGUACGGGUGUGAGAGCAAGAGCCCGGAGAUGGAUUCUGAGACAUGAAUCCAGGCCUACGGGGCGCAGCAGGCGCGAAAACUUUACAAUGCGGGAAACCGUGAUAAGGGGACACCGAGUGCCAGCAUCCUAUGCUGGCUGUCCGGGUGUGUAAACUACACCUGUUAGCAAGGGCCGGGCAAGACCGGUGCCAGCCGCCGCGGUAACACCGGCGGCCCGAGUGGUGAUCGUGAUUAUUGGGUCUAAAGGGUCCGUAGCCGGUUUGGUCAGUCCUCCGGGAAAUCUGACAGCUCAACUGUUAGGCUUUCGGAGGACACUGCCAGACUUGGAACCGGGAGAGGUAAGAGGUACUACAGGGGUAGGAGUGAAAUCUUGUAAUCCCUGUGGGACCACCUGUGGCGAAGGCGUCUUACCAGAACGGGUUCGACGGUGAGGGACGAAAGCUGGGGGCACGAACCGGAUUAGAUACCCGGGUAGUCCCAGCCGUAAACGAUGCUCGCUAGGUGUCAGGCAUGGCGCGACCGUGUCUGGUGCCGCAGGGAAGCCGUGAAGCGAGCCACCUGGGAAGUACGCGCGCAAGGCUGAAACUUAAAGGAAUUGGCGGGGGAGCACA
This 617-nucleotide ribosomal RNA is filed under the name uncultured archaeon. RNAcentral's name for it is "bacterial SSU rRNA". It matches the Rfam family "Archaeal small subunit ribosomal RNA", at positions 261 to 880 of the family's 1478-position model. The record is from RNAcentral.